This 253-nucleotide ribosomal RNA is filed under the name uncultured bacterium. Its description in RNAcentral is "partial 16S ribosomal RNA". It matches the Rfam family "Bacterial small subunit ribosomal RNA", at positions 524 to 776 of the family's 1533-position model. The record is from RNAcentral.
UACAGAGGUCUCAACCGUUGUUCGGAUUCAUUGGGCGUAAAGGGCGCGUAGGCGGCCGCCUAAGUCAGACGUGAAAUCCCUCGGCUCAACCGGGGAACUGCGUCUGAUACUGGGUGGCUUGAAUCCGGGAGAGGGAUGCGGAAUUCCAGGUGUAGCGGUGAAAUGCGUAGAUAUCUGGAGGAACACCGGUGGCGAAGGCGGCAUCCUGGACCGGCAUUGACGCUGAGGCGCGAAAGCCAGGGGAGCAAACGGG